CCGCCACCCCUGAGGGCACUCCCGGCACCCAGUGCCGAGGCUCGCCCGCGGAGGUCGCGACGGGAGGUUGGACCGCGGUGGUGCGCGGCUCGCCUACCCGCAGGUGUUCCUUUGAUCCAGUGGACGGUGACUCUGGUCUUCAGCCCGAGAGUGAUUCAAAAUGCCAUCACAAGAUAUUGAAUACAGUUCCCUGUGCUACACAGUAGGACCUUGUUGUUUAUCUAUUUUAUAUAUAGUAGUUUGUACCUGCUAAUCCCAACUUCUUAAUUUAUCCCUCCCUACUCCCCUUUUCCCCUUUGGUAACCAUCAGUUUGUUUUCCAUGUCUGUGAGUGUUUGUUUUGUAAAUAAGUUCAUUCAUGUAAUUUUUUUAGAUGCCACAUAUAAGGGAUAUCAUAUGGUAUUUGUCUUUCUCUGUCUGACUUUCUUCACUUAGUAUGAUCAUCUCUAGGUCCAGCCAUGUUGCUACAAAUGGCAUUAUUUCAUUCUUUUUAUGGCUGAGUAGUAUUCCAGUGUGCAUAUGUACCACAGCUUCUUUAUCCACUCACCUGCUGAUGGACACUUAGGUUGCGUCCACAUCUUGGCUGUUGUAAACAGUGCUUGUGUGAACAUGGGGAUGCUUGUCUCUCUUCCAAGUCGAGUUUUCUCCAGAUAUGUGCCCAGGAGUGGGAUUGCCGGAUCACUGCAGCGACUUUCUACCUGCAAAUCUGGGUAAGUUAAUUGUCAUUUCCAAGCCUUUAUUUUCUUGAAGUAGUUGAGUACUUAAAUUUCUCCAUUUCUUUAACACAAGAAGCUGGUGAAAUAAUUCUGUCUCACCUCAACUGGAAUUCAAGGUCAUGAAUGUGAAGUGACGAGCCUGAUGACGAAGACAAAGGCCUGCUCUGUGUGUCAGCACCGUUCUGAGUGAUGAGCACGGACUGAGUCCCUGCACCCGCACGGCAGGUGCCGUGGUUAUGCCCAGUCUACAGAAGAGGAAGGCGACUUGCCUGAGGUCACAGAGGUAGAAAGUGGUCCAGCCGGCAUUUGAAUGUGGGCGAGCCUGGCUGCAAGGCCACGGACUAGAAGAGAAACACACUGUGGGACCCGGAGAUGCUUCUCUUCCCCCUGGUUACUGCAGGUGGGGCUUCUGCCACCCCACGUCGGGCAAGAGAGCAGGUGUCUGUCGCUGCUGAGGGAUGUUAAGUCCCUGGCACCCAGCCAGCCUGAAUGCGGACUGAAUACACUCCCGCUCCCAUCCCAAGGAAACCACCAAGCCGAGGGUCCCCUGCGAAUGGAAACAGUGGUGCCGGGUACCAGCAGCGCCUGCCGCAAGCAACAGGCAGGAAAACGGUUUGUUGAUUUGAGAUCGCUGGUGUUACAGAGCUUAGAUAAAUGUCACAUCCUUUGGAUUGCCUUCACCAAGUGAUCAUUAUGUGAGUUUGGGGGGAAAAAAAAAAAGAUUAGCUGGCUUGACCCUGCCAAGCAAAUAGUGAAGAAUUCACAUAAGGCCGAAGUGCGAAAUAAAGAGAUAAAAGGCUUUGGUGAAAAUUGGUGCAGAAUUUUGGAACAUGAGAAAUCUUAAUAUUCUCAUCAAAUGCCUCUAGGGUAGCUGAGGUCCCCAGGGAGGCAGCAGCAGGUAAAAAGGCCCUGAGGUGGCAGGGAACCAGGUCGUUCCAGCAGGGCCACUCCUCGUGGCUCAGCGACACAAGAGCCUCCGGCCCUGAGGCAUGUGGGGGCUGGAGUCCAGCCCAAGGCCACCCACCAGGUCACAUGCCCUGUUUUAGGGCUGCAUCUGCAGCCUUGAGUUCACAAAAGGCUUCAUCCACAGGAAAGGCCAGGGUUUUUUACAUUGUAGAAGGCGCCAUAUGGUCUAGUCUGUGUUUCGAGAUCUGAAAGAAAGAAAAAAAGUGCAACUAAAUUCACAAAAAGGGGGAGGUGGGGCUGGACCACCAGGACCCAUGUGCUUUGGCAGGGAAUUUGGGAGGGGAAGGGAACAAAGGUUGAGGCAGGAGAGUGGCAUGCUCUGAGUCACGUUUGAGACGGACAGCUCAGGCUGCAGCAUGAAGAAUGACUCAGAGGGACAGGUUAGACGCAUAGAGCAUCGUCCAGGUGAGAGGUGGGGAGUGCGUGCCGGGCUGGCCCUGGAGAUGAAGAAAUGUACUCCAGUGGCAAAGUACCAGCUAUUCUGCUGAGUCAGGGGACGCUAAGGACAAAUUUGUAUUGUUUUCUGUCUUCACCCCUCACCUUUGCAGGACUUUGUUAACUGAUCGACAGCACAGCCGCGGGGCAGGUCCUGGGGUUCCAGCUGCUGUGCAGUGCUCAACUGCCAGGUGACUCCCUGACGCCCUCUGUCCCUGAGACCACCGUCUCCUAAGACAGACUGAAAAGUGAUGGAAAGACAUUGAAAGGUACAAGGGUCAUAGACAUGGGCCAAGAGCUCAGGCCGAGCAGGGGACCAGGAGGACCUUCUUGGCGGCUGACUCUGGAACCUGCCGGCAGGAGCAGGAGUGCGCUGGGUGGUAGCAGGCAGGGCCUUCACAUCCACAAAAGCAGGCACACGUGGUGUCCUGGCGGGACUCCUGCUCCAUAUGGGAGGAGGGGCAGGCCGGGAAGUGAGGAGCCAUAGGAUCGGGGGCUCUAUCGUGGGCAUGAUGGGGAGCCUUGGAGAGAUGAACCAAAUCGGUCUGCCCCUCUGGAGGAAUCCCUCUGAUUUCCCUGUGCAUCAGGGCACCAUUAGCCUAGAGUCAGGGAAAUGGUUAGGAGGUCUGGCUGUCAGAUAAUGAUGUAAAAUUACUCAUUACAGAACAGCCCUGUGUGUGUCCUUGAGAUACUUGGUGCUAUUUUGAUUUUUUUUUUCCCCUUUUCUAAAUUCUUAGAAGAGUAGUUAGACCACCAGAGUCUUAGUUUACAUCAUUCAUUCACCCAACUGGUAUGCAUCAAGCAUCCCCCAUGUGGCCAGUGCGGGGAACCUGCUGGGCAGGUUAGAGUUGAGUGGAGGAAGUUUCACCCACACUGCAUGGUGGAUGCCUUAAAGGAAGAGGACUGGACACCUGGACAGCACGUUACAGAGGAGUCGGGUCAGACUCCUGCGUGUCCAGAAAGUCAUCCUGGAAUUGAAAUCUGAAGGAGAAGUUGGUAUUAAACUAUGCAAAACGGGGAGUGAGGCAUUCCAGGCGGCGGAAGCAGCUUGUGCAAAGGCCCUGGGGGGGGGGGGGGGAGACAGGGCAUAUUUGAGAAUUCAGAAAAGCAGAGACAGCAAGAGGUUAAUCAGUGAGGGAUGAGAGGAAAGAAAGCAGCCAGGCCACGCCCUUGCACGAUGCCAACUCCCUGCAAAUAUUUGAAAUUAAAACAUGAAGAGCACUUGCCCUUUUGAGAGGAUCACCUCUUGAUCUCUCUUUGAUCCCAUGGGCCCUGGUGGGUUCUAGGCAAGAAGAGUUGGCUGUGGAUGGGUCUGUGUGUGGCCCCAGCUUGUCACCCAUUCCUGCGUCACCUUUUAUCCCUCACAGGCAGGGAGGGAUGCCAGUCCCUGGGUUCGUGGUGUUGUCAGGUUUUACCUGGUACCAAUAUGAGCUUCCCAUGUGAAAAGUAAGUGCUUUGCUGAAGGCGCUGGCCACUCAGCAGUAGCAGUUCACUGUCCCCCUGCUUUAUUUUACCUGAAUUAAGGACCUAAUCCCAGUUUCCAGAACUUGCGUGUCAGCCCUCAAGAUAGUCCCCAGAAAUGUCAGCCUCACAGGAAAGAAGAAUCUCGAGGUCUCUCUACCUGAUGCUCGGAAAGCCAGCCACGUAACUCAGCACCAGCACUCAUCGGAUACACACCAAUAUCAAAAGCAUGUAAUGUCGGCAAAGUUUUCCAAUCGUAUUAUUACCCUGUUUUGCAGGUACUGAAAGUGAGGCCCAGGAGGCGCAGUAACUUGUCCUGGGAACACAGGAAGUCACACCUGUUUUCAAAGUCCCAGGGCUCAACCAUGGUGCCACCGAGCCACCCACUAGUCUAUACUACGUUCAAGGGAGCAGACCUCCAUCCUCCAGUGCUGGGGGCCCCAGAGAAGUCUAUUCUGGGCCCUUCCUCAGCAGAUGAGGAAUCCGAAUAAGGGAAAGGCAGUGAUGGGCACUGUUUUCACAUCCACCCAGGGAAGUUGGAGGCAGCUCAGCCAGCUGCCCUCUCCACCCCGGCUCUGAUAAAUGAUGACUGUCACAGGGUGUGACGAAGAUUCAAAGAAUGAGAGCCUAGAAAGUGCCUAGAACAGCAGGGGGCCUGGAUGUCCACCUCCUGCCAUCCCAAGUGAGCUGUGAAGCUGGUCCACAUCCUGCCUGGGUAGAGAAGUAUGUGGCAGAAACCUUCAGUGCGGCCAAGCUGUGGCCCACUGUGGCCCGAUGUCCUGGCAGGGAUUCUUUGAUUGUAGACGUGCGAAUCCAGACACUUCUGAACCCCAAAGCCACAGUGAUUUCCGUGGCCUGGCCAGGACUGAUGAACUGCUCCAGGUUCUCCCCCCCCCCGCCCCCGACUCCGGCAAGAAUGUGGGCAGGACCCGUGUCACAUCCCGUCCUAGGAACUGGCCCACUUUGCAGCCUCAGGACAAAACAGGUUCCAGGCUAGGUAGCAGGAAGUGAAAAAUGCAGUUUUUCUUGGUUGGGUAACUAAGAACCAUGCAGCGGGCAGGAGCCAUUUAGGGCCCCAGAGCUGUUCAUUUAAAGGUGUUUCACCUGGAAAUAGGGAUUAAACUUCAAAUGUUAUUUUCAGGUCACUUUAUGUGACAUAAUUUUAUGAUGGUGAUAAGAUCCAGGGAGCUACCAAAAAGAAAAGUUCCAAAGUUAUUUUACUGCUGAAUUUCUCUAGUCGAGAUGUUUAAUACCUCCCGGCUGAAUCUGGGACAGGGAGAGCCCUGGAGGUCACCUGCGGACUGCGGGGCCAGGCAGCGAUGGGCACUGUUUUCACGAGGACCACCUGAUUCCUCGGCUUUAGUUGGUCUGCGUGACUGCCCCGAACCCUCAGUGUUAGCCUUUGUGUUUGGAAAGUGCUUUUUACCCUCUGGAGGACAUACUCCAUCCUUAGAAGAUCCAUUCUCACCUUGGUUGUUUUAGUAGAUGUGGGAGCUACUCCACGUGGCCUUUGAAAUCUGGGGACCCUGGACAGGCAGACAAAUCGAGAGGGGGGCAGUCGUGGCAGUGUUAUGACUCAGAACCCGAGGUAAGAACGCUCUCUGGUUUUUAGGUUUGGCAACAGAGGAAUGGGAAGCCCUGCGUUCCUCCCGUACAAGGAUCAAGAUGCUAACUGGAGGAAAAAACUUUACUCCGCACAUUACCUUAAAAAUAUUUGGUUACUGUCACACCUCCUCUGGCAGAGAUAGGGGCAGCACGGAGGAGGUGACCCCACGACCCUCAGCAACGCCGAGUCCUCCCCCGCACGGUGCGGUGGGGCAGCUGGUGUUGUGAAUCAGGCCGUUGCCCAUCAGAGAACGGCUACUUCACAACACCAGGGUCACACCCCACCACAGGCAGCGCUCUGGGCACCGGCCCCCAUCACGCCUCCUCCGCGGCCGUCAGUCAUCAGCGCCGGGUCCCGCAGGCCCGGCGUGCGGCUCUCUGGUUCACCCUGCCUGCUCUGCAGACACCACUGCUGACACAGCCGCCUUGUGGCGGUGUCUCCCCCAGCCCAGACAGCUCCACUUUUAAAAGAAGACACUUCUCACAGCAUGAGCUUCUGCAGAGAGAAUGGAGCUCCCGGCUUCCCAGGGUGAGAGUGGGGUUGCGGGCCCCGAGAAGGGUUCCACGCCACGAAACUGACUAAACUGAACUCUUCCUCCCAGAUGCUCGGAAUGCACAGCGGCGAACAGGGCCUGGAUCUUGACACGUGGUGGUGAGAGCUGGGAAUAGAGCCCAGUGGAGGGAAGGGAGGACCUAGUGACAGGACGGGGGACACUCUUGGGAGAAAGGAAGGCCUUUUGUGGCCACGUAGACAGAGGACACAUCUACCUCCUCGAUGGUCCCAGGUGCCCUGGAGCCUACAUGCCUUUCUUGAAGGUGAGAGUUCCCCAGCCCUCCAUACAGACAAGAGCCGUGCACAGGGGGACCCUUCCUCGGAUGUCCAUCUGUCAGGACACUCCUGUCCUGGGUAAUGUGACCUGUCACCUGUACUGACAGGUGGGCUUCCUCUCCCAAGGGUCUCACCGGCAGGGUUAGGAAACUACCAGGGGUCUCCAGAGUUGCAGUGUUCUGUGUAAGUACCUUAAUUAAAUCUUACACGUGAUGCCACCGUAUAUAUGUUAGAGCCAAGGAAGGAGUUCACAGGCAGAGUGGCUGGGGUGACCAGCAUCCUUUCUGAAGCACUAAGAAAAACAAGGAUGCCCAUGUCUCUGGCUUUCUAUGGGACAGAGAGACCCAGGGCCACUGUGAUUAACCCAGGCCCCGAUGUUGCUGUCCCGUAGGAAACCAGAGGGAUGGCCAGAAACCAGCCAGGUGCAAACACUGCACAGAGCCUGGGUUCAUCACAGCGGCCCUGGGUCUCUGUCACCGUGAAGUUCUGGGAUGUGAGUCUGCUGCGUCUGUGAAGUUCUGCCUCUUCCCCCAGACUGCUAAGGCAGCUCUGAAAUAUGUACUAGGUAAUGCUGGGAGACAAGUAUCUUUCAAAAGUUCAAAAGUUUCCAGUUUUUUCAGAAAGGUCUUCCUGUCUUCUCUUUAAAAUACAUGCACAGCAUGUUCCCGAGAAUCCACCCACUGCCCAGCUCCCCUGCCACCACCAGCAUCCAGGCAGUGCCACUCACAGUGUGGUCCAUGCUGGCAGCGUCAGCAUGCAGGAAAGGUGGUCUCCCACCCUCCUCCGCACGCCUGCGGCCUCCCAGUCCUGGGGGUGACACCUGUGCUCAGGGACUGGCUGUUAAGAGGCUCUCCAGGGGAGGCUUCAGAUGUGUGACCACCUCCUUUUUGCUCUCCCCACAUCCUGUCCAGCUUCCAUUCCAACCCCAUCUCUUCUUUUCCAAAUGCACGCUUACAUCGUGUGAAUCGCUCCACCCCCUUAAAAGAGUUGGCCUCACCCAGACUGCACUGGGACUCCAAGUGGCAGGCAUGCCCCAGCCACCUCUCAGUCCACACCAUUCCUCCCUCUGACACACCUGCCCCAAGACCCCUCUCCAGGUGCUCACACCUUCCCCAGGACUGGUCCUCACUGUCCUCCAGAUUUCAGCCAGCGCUGAUCACUGACUCCCCAAAACCCAGAAAGCCAAGCCAGGUAAGGUAACUGAUUAGAGCGUUUCUCUCAUUCUGUCAUCCUGCCUUCACUGGUGGGCAUCUUCGCUGAAUGUGUGUUUUCCCCACUGGCCGGAUGGAUGCUCUCUGAGGGCAGGGACCUCCAGCCGAGCUAGGUCUCUGGCAUUUAGCGGCUCAGUAAUGUAUUUGUUCAUAGCCUGAGCCGUGAGUGUCCUCCCAGGUCAAAUUCUCUCUUGCCCAUCGGAGCCCUGGAUCUCUGAUUCUGACAGUGAUUCUAGUAACAGCCACAGGCACUACUCUGAGCCCUUUGAGUCGUCGUUGACCCAAGGCCUCAAUUUCCUCCUAACGGCAGGUCGUGUAAGCGCCCUAUUAGGUAAGUCACAGGACCACACCAUCCAUCAUGUUGCUAAUUGGCUACACUGCUCCUCUAACCCAGGCAGUCUGGCUUCUGGGCCACUGCUCUGUGCUGUUGAGGGGCCAGAUGGAGGGGACAAAGCUGGAUAUGGAGGUCCCCACCAUUCCUCAGAAGCCGCCCCUCGAGUUUCUGAAACCUGGCGGACCAGGCAUUCUUUCUCCCUGUCUGUGUCUUUCUAAGAGGUUAGAUUCUCACCUUGUUUAAAGCACUUCAUCAUGGAACCUGAUUAAAAACCUAAUGAAAUAUAAAAUAGGGUCACGUCCAGAGAGAGAACUGUUUCAGAACCAGGGGAAGCGUGACUUCAUUUCCUGGUUAAGCUGGUGAAUUCAUUCCAGGUUUGCACAGUUACCUUCAGGGGUCAGAGCUUCUGCAAAAAGCUGGGUUUAGAAAGGACACUUCCCGAGCAAAUACUUAGUAUCAAAUAGAGCAGUGGUUCUCGAAGUUGGGUCCCUGGACCAGCAACAGCAUCACUUGGGAACUUGUUCGACAUGCAUGUGCUCUGGGUCCUCACGGCCCUGCAGCAUCAGAAACCCUGGGGGGAGGUCCGGCAGUCUGGCGGAAGCCUUCUGAUGUGCUCUCCUCACCUGCUUUGGGGAGGGGGUAGGUUUUCUUGUUUUACUUCGCCUGUAGUCAUCACCAGACACUGUCCUUAGGCCCCCCAGAGGGUCUUUUGUGUUCCUUUUAUAUAAGCCACAGCCAAGGACAUUUUCAGCACCAUGCACCUGCUUCUGGUGCUGAAGGAAGGCUCCUUUUUAAUAUAUGUAUAAUAUGUGUAAUGUAUAUAAUGUUAUAUGUAUUAUGUAUAUAUUAUGUAUAUAUGUAUUGUAUAUUUAUUAAUGUACUAUGUACAUGUAUUACAUAUAUAUAGUAUAUAUAAUAAUUUGAGGGCUUCGGCUCAUUGUGCUGCUACAGAGCCAGAGUUCCACAUUGACAUCUUACCUCCUACAGCGAGGCUGUGGGGAAAGCUGUGUACACCCUCUGCUGAAAUUUCAGGAAGAUUUCAUGGGCCUCACGGGUAGAGUUGAAGCAGAAGGUUUCCACCGUGGUGACAAUUUUUUAUGGAUUUUUAACUGAAAUGUAGCAAUUUACAAUGUUGUGUUAGUUUCAGGUGUACAGCAAAGUGAUUCAGAUAUAUAUAUAUAUUUAUAUUCCUUUUCAGAUGCUGUUCCAUUAUUUUUGAUGGAUUUUUAAAGAGAGGAGGGGCAGUAAAAAUCCACCCCACCAUUCUGUCUGCUCCCUAAAAACAACUCAAAGAACCUCACCCAGAUCAUGGUGAAAGUUUGAAAUUGCCGUUUUCAAAGGCGUGGCGGUGUAAACAGUUUCUUGUCUGUAGCACAAGGAACUGUAUUCAGUAUCUCGUAGUAACCUACAGUGAAGACGAACGUAGGUACGUACACGUAUUACUGAAACGUUAUGCUGUAUACCAGAAAUUGACACACUGAGAACUGACUAUACUACAGAAAGAAAAUUAUUUUAAAUUUAAAAAUUAAGAAAAAUAAAAGGCAUAGGAGGAAAGAG
Camelus dromedarius (Arabian camel) is the source of this 9113-nucleotide long non-coding RNA. RefSeq lists it as uncharacterized. Lineage: Eukaryota; Metazoa; Chordata; Mammalia; Artiodactyla; Camelidae. The record is from RefSeq and is a predicted model, not a curated record. The transcript has 7 exons.